GAUGAACGCUGGCGGCGUGCUUAACACAUGCAAGUCGAACGAUGAAGCCCAGCUUGCUGGGUGGAUUAGUGGCGAACGGGUGAGUAACACGUGAGUAACCUGCCCUUAACUCUGGGAUAAGCCUGGGAAACUGGGUCUAAUACCGGAUAGGAGCGUCCACCGCAUGGUGGGUGUUGGAAAGAUUUAUCGGUUUUGGAUGGACUCGCGGCCUAUCAGCUUGUUGGUGAGGUAAUGGCUCACGAAGGCGACGACGGGUAGCCGGCCUGGGAGGGUGACCGGCCACACUGGGACUGAGGCACGGCCCAGACUCCUACGGGAGGCAGCAGUGGGGAAUAUUGCACAAUGGGCGCAAGCCUGAUGCAGCGACGCCGCGUGAGGGAUGACGGCCUUCGGGUUGUAAACCUCUUUCAGUAGGGAAGAAGCGAAAGUGACGGUACCUGCAGAAGAAGCACCGGCUAACUACGUG
RNAcentral lists this ribosomal RNA (466 nucleotides) under uncultured bacterium. Its description in RNAcentral is "partial 16S ribosomal RNA". It matches the Rfam family "Bacterial small subunit ribosomal RNA", at positions 28 to 507 of the family's 1533-position model. The record is from RNAcentral.